GACAGAGGGUGCAAACGUUGUUCGGAAUUACUGGGCGUAAAGCGUGUGUAGGCGGCCAUAUAAGUCGGAUGUGAAAGCCCUGGGCUCAACCCAGGAAGUGCACUCGAUACUGUAUGGCUUGAGUACUGGAGAGGUUGGUGGAAUUCUCGGUGUAGAGGUGAAAUUCGUAGAUAUCGAGAGGAACACCGGUGGCGAAGGCGGCUCUCUGGGACGGUACUGACGCUGAGACGCGAAAGCGUGGGGAGCGAACAGG
Molecule: ribosomal RNA, 253 nt
Filed under: uncultured bacterium
Lineage: Bacteria
Description: partial 16S ribosomal RNA
Rfam family: Bacterial small subunit ribosomal RNA
Source: RNAcentral